UCUCUGCGUGUUACUGUUGCCGAUGACGCAGGAGUACUUUCCGGCCACCAUUUUUAGCCACGCGCCGGACCGUUGGAUUCAGAGGCCUCCGAACUAUCGACCUACGCGGGAAUCUAGAGCUCACUCGCCGAUUAAAUGCCUCAACCACUCGAUUUAAGUUCGGCCACCCCGCGACUUCAAAGUUGCGAUUCGGCCACCUCGGGCAUCCGUUUGCCGAUCCGUCACCACCAUCGUGCUCCUCGUGUUGUGGGCUUCAAAACCCAAUAACUUGUUCCUACAUCUACCAUAGUUGGGUGGUGGGCCCACCACGAGCCACCGCGAUCCACCGUAGACCGACGGUCGAAACUUAGUGUUCGAGGUUCCGAAGUACGUUUUGAGUCUCAGAAAAUCAUCGUUUGACUUAUUGUGGAACCCGAUCAUUUUGGAUUUGAUUGAUUGACUCUUGGUGAUGAAUUUUAAAAUAAGCUAAGGACCUAAGGUGUGGCUUUAACUGUUGAGAAACUUGUGGAGCACGGACUCAGUAGCAAUGCAAUAAUGGUUUAGAGUUUUCAUAUGGCUGCCUUAAAUUUAAAGUAUUCAUACGUGUAAUAAUUUCUUCUAAUAAGUUUAUAUAAAAGUUUUAAAUUUUUCUGUAUUUCUUCGUAUCAUUUUAUUUAAUUCUUUUGGUCAAGUGCCUUACAUACUCGUAAACCCUAGAAUUAUGAGU
Molecule: long non-coding RNA, 706 nt
Organism: Humulus lupulus (European hop)
Lineage: Eukaryota; Viridiplantae; Streptophyta; Magnoliopsida; Rosales; Cannabaceae
Exons: 3
Source: RefSeq, a predicted model, not a curated record